Molecule: long non-coding RNA, 143 nt
Organism: Anguilla rostrata (American eel)
Lineage: Eukaryota; Metazoa; Chordata; Actinopteri; Anguilliformes; Anguillidae
Exons: 2
Source: RefSeq, a predicted model, not a curated record
CUGUCCAGUCCUUUCACAGACACUGACACAGGCAGCAUUAUGAUGAUGUUAAACUUUCUACUGCUGGUGAUGCUGGGACUCUUUGCUCAGGAAUCGAUGGCAGAUGUAGUUCUGACCCAGUCUCCAUCAGCUCAGUCUGUUCA